RNAcentral lists this ribosomal RNA (451 nucleotides) under uncultured bacterium. RNAcentral describes it as "partial 16S ribosomal RNA". It matches the Rfam family "Bacterial small subunit ribosomal RNA", at positions 354 to 796 of the family's 1533-position model. The record is from RNAcentral.
GUGGGGAAUCUUCCGCAAUGGGCGCAAGCCUGACGGAGCAACGCCGCGUGAAUGAAGAAGGCCUUCGGGUCGUAAAGUUCUGUCUUUAGAGAAGAAGUCUCUCUAUGUGAAUAAUGUAGAGAGGUGACGGUACCUAAGGAGGAAGCUCCGGCUAACUACGUGCCAGCAGCCGCGGUAAUACGUAGGGAGCAAGCGUUGUCCGGAAUUACUGGGCGUAAAGGGCGCGUAGGCGGAUAAUUAAGUCAGGUGUGAAAACUCUGGGCUCAACCUGGAGAUUGCACUUGAAACUGGUUAUCUUGAGGGCAGGAGAGGAAAGUGGAAUUCCUAGUGUAGCGGUGAAAUGCGUAGAUAUUAGGAGGAACACCAGUGGCGAAGGCGACUUUCUGGACUGCACCUGACGCUGAGGCGCGAAAGCGUGGGGAGCGAACGGGAUUAGAUACCCUUGUAGUCC